UGGGGAAUUUUGGACAAUGGGCGCAAGCCUGAUCCAGCAAUGCCGCGUGCAGGAUGAAGGCCUUCGGGUUGUAAACUGCUUUUGUACGGAACGAAAAGGCUCUGGUUAAUACCUGGAGUUGAUGACGGUACCGUAAGAAUAAGCACCGGCUAACUACGUGCCAGCAGCCGCGGUAAUACGUAGGGUGCGAGCGUUAAUCGGAAUUACUGGGCGUAAAGCGUGCGCAGGCGGUAAUGCAAGACAGAUGUGAAAUCCCCGGGCUUAACCUGGGAACUGCAUUUGUGACUGCAUUGCUGGAGUGCGGCAGAGGGGGAUGGAAUUCCGCGUGUAGCAGUGAAAUGCGUAGAUAUGCGGAGGAACACCGAUGGCGAAGGCAAUCCCCUGGGCCUGCACUGACGCUCAUGCACGAAAGCGUGGGGAGCAAACAGGAUUA
This 433-nucleotide ribosomal RNA is filed under the name uncultured bacterium. RNAcentral describes it as "bacterial SSU rRNA". It matches the Rfam family "Bacterial small subunit ribosomal RNA", at positions 355 to 780 of the family's 1533-position model. The record is from RNAcentral.